AAGAGACAGCAGUCGCCGCGGGAAAACGGAGGGAGCUAGCGUUAUUCGGAAUUACUGGGCGUAAAGCGCACGUAGGCGGCUUUGUAAGUAAGAGGUGAAAGCCCAGAGCUCAACUCUGGAAUUGCCUUUUAGACUGCAUCGCUUGAAUCAUGGAGAGGUCAGUGGAAUUACGAGUGUAGAGGUGAAAUUCGUAGAUAUUCGGAAGAACACCAGUGGCGAAGGCGGCUGACUGGACAUGUAUUGACGCUGAGGUGCGAAAGCGUGGGGAGCAAACAGGAUUAGAUACCCGUGUAGUCCCUGUCUCUUAUAC
Molecule: ribosomal RNA, 310 nt
Filed under: uncultured bacterium
Lineage: Bacteria
Description: partial 16S ribosomal RNA
Rfam family: Bacterial small subunit ribosomal RNA
Source: RNAcentral